AGCAGCCGCGGUAAUUCCAGCUCCAAUAGCGUAUAUUAAAGUUGUUGCAGUUAAAAAGCUCGUAGUUGAAUUUCGGGGUCAGUAGGUCGGUCGUGCCACUGGUAUGAACUGGUUUUACUGAUUCCUCCCUCUUGAAGAACUGUAAUGCCAUUAAUUUGGUGUUGCAGGGAAUCAGGACUGUUACUUUGAAAAAAUUAGAGUGUUUAAAGCAGGCUUUUAGCUUGAAUACAUUAGCAUGGAAUAAUGAAAUAGGACGUUUGAUCCUAUUUUGUUGGUUUCUAGGAUUGACGUAAUGAUUAAUAGGGAUAGUUGGGGGCAUUAGUAUUCAAUUGUCAGAGGUGAAAUUCUUGGAUUUAUUGAAGACUAACUACUGCGAAAGCAUUUGCCAAGGAUGUUUUCAUUAAUCAAGAACGAAAGUUAGGGAUCGAAGACGAAUCAGAUACCGUCGUAGUCUUAACCAUAAACUAUGCCGACUAGGGAUCGGAUGAUGUUAAUUUUUAUGACUCAUUCGGCGCCUUAC
This 520-nucleotide ribosomal RNA is filed under the name uncultured Glomus. RNAcentral describes it as "SSU rRNA". It matches the Rfam family "Eukaryotic small subunit ribosomal RNA", at positions 569 to 1091 of the family's 1831-position model. Lineage: Eukaryota; Fungi; Glomeromycota; Glomeromycetes; Glomerales; Glomeraceae. The record is from RNAcentral.